UCUUUUGCAUGAAAGCAUUCUCAACCAACACUAAUAUAUCCUGUCCAAAAGACUUCGAACCAUUGGCUUGGAAACUGGUGAAAAGGUGUGAAGGCCUACCCCUUGCAAUAGUGGCUUUAGGUGGUCUUAUGUCAUCAAAAAGGUCAAUAACAGAGUGGAUUUAUGUUUGUGACAACUUGAACUGGCAACUGAGCAAUAAUCAGAUGCUGGAUGUAACAAAGAAUAUUUUGCUGCUUAGUUUCAAUGA
This 247-nucleotide unclassified non-coding RNA is filed under the name Hevea brasiliensis (rubber tree). The record is from RNAcentral. Lineage: Eukaryota; Viridiplantae; Streptophyta; Magnoliopsida; Malpighiales; Euphorbiaceae.